This 60-nucleotide small nucleolar RNA is filed under the name Euglena gracilis. RNAcentral's name for it is "Eg-m126 box C/D methylation-guide". Lineage: Eukaryota; Euglenozoa; Euglenophyceae; Euglenales; Euglenaceae. The record is from RNAcentral.
UGCAUGAUGAGCAUUUUUGGGCACCAUUCUGAUUUAUUUUGAUGUGCUUGCACUCUGAAC